This 2892-nucleotide long non-coding RNA is filed under the name Nicotiana benthamiana. RNAcentral describes it as "long non-coding RNA (NBEN_LNC017878)". The record is from RNAcentral. Lineage: Eukaryota; Viridiplantae; Streptophyta; Magnoliopsida; Solanales; Solanaceae.
CUAAUUUCACUUAGCUAGAGGAGCAGUCGCCAGUAGCCACCAUACCCCAUAAGAAAAAUAGCCACAACCCCUCAUGAUUCGAGCAAGUGACAGUCGCUCACCACCGAAAGAACUAUUGGCCUCCUCUACAAAAAACGGGAAGAGACGCUUGAUUGAACAGGAGGUCCGUUCGAGGCUCAGUUGCCAGCAAGAGAUUCAGGCCAUUAGCUCGUUUUUGGUUUAUUGCAUUGGAGACUUUCUUUCAUUGUAUAUAUUGAAGAAUACGCAGCAAUAAAGGUCAAUCUCCUUUCACUAUCCAUUAUUCCUUUUUAUCUCAUAUAUAUGUGAUGCUUUAUUUGGCUUGAUUUAGUAAAUGCUUUGAUGAUACUAUUGAUUGAGUGAAUUUUAUCCUAGUAACCAUGUUGAGUUUAGUUUUAUAAAUUGAAUAGAUAGUUUGUUACUAUUUGAGCAAAUUUUGUCGAUUAAACAAAAUAAUGACAUAUUCUUCAUUUUAUGCAUUUGUCUUUACUUGGAACUCGGUGGAUGUGAUAUAAACUGUUUACAAAUUAGUUUGUGCUAAAAUUAAUCAUGAACCUGGACGUUGGUUUAUGUCAAAAGGGGAUUGGACUAAGGGUUAUAGGUGAAUUCUGACCGGUUGUAUGUUUUGAGACUGGGUUGGAAGUAAUUUUGAUGUUCUUUAUUCUUACUCUCGUUAAUUGGGCUAGUAGGAGCAUGUUUAGGAUCGCACUUGGGUAGUCAAACUUUAGGAUGCUUUAUUUAUUUUUCUAGGUAAGAGAUCGUUACAUUUAGUUCGUAUUCAGGGGAAUGCCCCGUAGAUUUUGUAUAUAUUUUAUCUGGGGUAUGUCCCAUAGUGAAUGUGAUGGGCCGUCGUGAUGGACAUCAUGGAAUAAGCGUAGUGUAGACUGUUAAUAUUUUCUUCUUAUUUUAUUUUCUUUUAUUUAGGUGGGGACGACCUCGAGCUUGUUGUGUGUUUAUUUUAUUUUUUUGUGUUUUAUACCUCAAUUUCAAUAUUUUUAAAAGCCAACUAGAUUGAGUAUGCAGCUGUACUAAUUACGGGACUCGGGGAUUUCUAACACCUUCUCCCCAAGUCAAAUGAACACCCUUACCUAGAACUCUGGUUCAGACUUAGGUUUGGAGUCCAAAGUGUUUUAAGAGAAAAAAUUAUUUUUUAAAAAGAUAACCUGAAACACCAAAAUCAAAUGUCAGGUGGUGACUUUGAAAAAUCCUUUUGAACACAAUUCUUUUUCACUUUCUAAUUCAAACCUCUUUUGAGCUUCACAAAAUCACUUUUUAUAUUUUUAAGAGGGUUAAGUGAGGUGAAAGAAGGGGUGUGACAGCUCAGGCGACUCUACUGGGGAAUUGCAGGUUCGAGCUAAUACUUGGUCUUAUAGGCUUUUAGAAUAUUUGAUUGGGUGUUUUUUUCUUUAUUUGAUUUGUUUGUCUUAUUUCUUUUUUUAUUAGUGAUUUGUUUAUUGCUUUUCAUAAUUUGUUUACCGUUUUAUAACUAUCAUUAUUUGCAUAACCAUGGGCCUUCUUUCUACAACAAGUCCUGGAGUACGUUUGCGCGUACACAGUCAAUUGUGAGUCACCUGUGUCUUUAGGGGUAGCGUGGGAGCGUGUAGAGGGCGGAUAGCUAGAGCAGCCGCCAUUGACCACAUGCCGCACAGAAUUACCUUAUCUAGUGAACCUCCAAACUUAUAUAAGCCUUUAGGUCAUGCUUAUUUGAAUCAUGUCAUUUACACUUAGCAGAGCUCGGUCCAAGGCACCAUGUUCCUUUGUAGGAGGCCUAUCCAAAUUAUGUCAAAGUGGGUCUGUGGCCCAAAAAGAUAUUUAAUCAUCCACAUGUACUACAUGCUACAUUCUUUAAGGGUAAAGAGGUUAUUUUGUGGACCAAUGAUGGUUGAGGCUAAAUGAGAAAGAAAAGAGGUUGAAGUAUAAAGAUAAAGCAAGUAGGGCCCAAUUACAUUUUUCUUUCACAACUUUUUCAAGAAAAGACCAAAAAAAUUAAAAAUCCAAAAAUAUGUUGUACUUUCCCAUAAUUUUCCAAAAAUUAAAAUAAAAAAAUAAAAAAAACCAAAAAGAUUUUAUAUAUUUCAUCAUUUGUCAAAAAAAGAGAAAAAAUAUGUUUCUUCAAACUAGUGUGUUCUUUUUUAAAUUUUCUCCUGUAUACAAUCUUUCCGAACUACGCAUACCCGAUUCUCGUCUCUCGGGGCAGGAUACAUAGGCAUCCGAUAUAAGUUCUGGUCUUCCUAGUGAGUCUUAGGUUCUUGGCUUCACUGGUCGUAGCCAAAUCUUACAUGUCUAGCUACGUUUGGUCACAUUAGUCAUUUUGUAAAAUACGGAUAUUUUCUCGAAGUGUGUUAUCCCAUGUCUUAGAGCCCUGUUUCUGCAACAAGGUGUCCUCUAAGUUCUAAGGUCCAUUUCUAUUGAAUUUGUAUGUCUAUCCACUUUUGGCCACAUCGCCAUUCUUGCAACAUGAGGUCAUUUUCUCAAAAGUGGUUCAAUGACCAAUGUCGUAGGAUCUUGAAUCCAUAACUAGGUGUUAUGUUACUUUAACCGUCCUUGUUGAAUUUGUAUCCCUAACCGUGUUUGGCCAUAUCGGGCGUUUUUGCACGAUUGGGUCAUUUUUGCGAAGUAAUUGUUAGGGCCAUAAUUAUUGGGAGUUUGAAGUCAUAUAAGCCUUACCUUUGUUGAGUUUUCACUAAUAUUCAUCCUUAGCCACGUAGAGCAUUUUACAAAACUAGCCCAAUCAUAUCUUGCAUGUGUCCAUAGGAGGUGUUGUGGUGUCGCAUAUAGUCUCUAGUCACUAACUCUAUUUGGUUUUAUUUUUCUCAGUCAGGUAUGGAUCAAUGUACUAGAGCGAGAAUGACAGAUACCUAGGACCAUUGUAUU